UGUAGCUUCUGCUGUCUGAACGGCUGUCUCUGAGCUUCCUGCAGCAAAACAAAACAGCGCUGAAAGUGUCUGUCUCUUCCUUUUGUUUCACUAUUUUCUUUCCAUGAGAGCUCUCUGAAGCUACGUGCCCAGCUGGAAUUAAUAUACACAGAGUCUCUGCAGAGAAGAAUGGGGAAGUGGAGGAGGCCCAAGGGGGUAGUGAGAGGGAGAAUCAGUCCCUACUUGAACUGGGUCCGGAAAAAAUGUAUGCAUGACAUUCUCUGCUGCACAAUCUGUCCUGCAAGCUCAGCAGAACCAAUUACACACUGCAUUUAUGGACAGCCAACAGCAACUUGCCUGACUCCUGCCAGUACGGGGCUUUUUUCCUUGGCACAUCUUCUAUCUCCAAUAUAGACACUGGACCAGGAGCAAGACCUCAGCCACAGCCAGCAUUUGAUCUUGUGUGUAGUGAUGUCCUGCUCUGAGCAUGCAUGGAGGACAAGUUUUUCCUUGAGAAGCCAAAAACCAAGGCUGUCCUUGAGGAGCCAAUGGUUGUACUCACACUGUGCAGAAAUCAUGGAGGCGAGGGAAGGAGAGCGACACAGCUUCUCUGCCCAGCUCUGAAGAUGGAUGCUAAGGGUGUCCCCAUUCCAUACGUGUCUCCUACAUUGUCCUGAUGGGUUGCCAAGGGAAAAAACACCAAUGCCUGAAUGAAAAAAUAUGUUUACAUGUCUUUAAUUCAUUCCCAACCAAACACCCAUCUUUUGCUGCAGCCAGCAGUACACGCAAUUAAAGGGUUUAUUUUUGUGUUAAACUAUCUCUCCAUAAUUAUGGAGUGACUAUGAAGUGCAGCUUUUCUGUGUGUAUGUUUGAAGAAGUGAGGGAUAUGACAUUUUCUCCAUUUCCUAGUGUAUCACCUACAUUUUCAUUUUCCUUUCUGUCCACACAUCAUCAGCUGCCUCCCUUCUACCAGACAACCAGCUCCAUUAAGAUAAUUUUUUGAAAGAAAAAAGCAAAGAUGAAGCUGCUUGUGAAGUACCUUCACAGACACUAAGAGAGGUGUCUGACAAGGCACCAUUUGUUACUCUCAUCUUUCUCAUCUGUUAGUCUAGGACACCUUGAAAUAAAAAGUAAUUAUAUGUAAAAUGGUUUAGAACC
This 1137-nucleotide long non-coding RNA is filed under the name Parus major (Great Tit). RNAcentral's name for it is "lncRNA (ENSPMJG00000009503.1)". The record is from RNAcentral. Lineage: Eukaryota; Metazoa; Chordata; Aves; Passeriformes; Paridae.